UCCCGCUCAGGAUGAACGCUGGCGGCGUGCCUAAUACAUGCAAGUCGAGCGAACAGAUAAGGAGCUUGCUCCUUUGACGUUAGCGGCGGACGGGUGAGUAACACGUGGGUAACCUACCUAUAAGACUGGAAUAACUCCGGGAAACCGGGGCUAAUGCCGGAUAACAUUUAGAACCGCAUGGUUCUAAAGUGAAAGAUGGUUUUGCUAUCACUUAUAGAUGGACCCGCGCCGUAUUAGCUAGUUGGUAAGGUAAUGGCUUACCAAGGCAACGAUACGUAGCCGACCUGAGAGGGUGAUCGGCCACACUGGAACUGAGACACGGUCCAGACUCCUACGGGAGGCAGCAGUAGGGAAUCUUCCGCAAUGGGCGAAAGCCUGACGGAGCAACGCCGCGUGAGUGAUGAAGGGUUUCGGCUCGUAAAACUCUGUUAUUAGGGAAGAACAAACGUGUAAGUAACUGUGCACGUCUUGACGGUACCUAAUCAGAAAG
RNAcentral lists this ribosomal RNA (490 nucleotides) under uncultured Staphylococcus sp. Its description in RNAcentral is "bacterial SSU rRNA". It matches the Rfam family "Bacterial small subunit ribosomal RNA", at positions 18 to 490 of the family's 1533-position model. Lineage: Bacteria; Bacillati; Bacillota; Bacilli; Caryophanales; Staphylococcaceae. The record is from RNAcentral.